RNAcentral lists this ribosomal RNA (406 nucleotides) under Klebsiella pneumoniae. Its description in RNAcentral is "bacterial SSU rRNA". It matches the Rfam family "Bacterial small subunit ribosomal RNA", at positions 970 to 1376 of the family's 1533-position model. The record is from RNAcentral. Lineage: Bacteria; Pseudomonadati; Pseudomonadota; Gammaproteobacteria; Enterobacterales; Enterobacteriaceae.
CUUACCUGGUCUUGACAUCCACAGAACUUUCCAGAGAUGGAUUGGUGCCUUCGGGAACUGUGAGACAGGUGCUGCAUGGCUGUCGUCAGCUCGUGUUGUGAAAUGUUGGGUUAAGUCCCGCAACGAGCGCAACCCUUAUCCUUUGUUGCCAGCGGUUCGGCCGGGAACUCAAAGGAGACUGCCAGUGAUAAACUGGAGGAAGGUGGGGAUGACGUCAAGUCAUCAUGGCCCUUACGACCAGGGCUACACACGUGCUACAAUGGCAUAUACAAAGAGAAGCGACCUCGCGAGAGCAAGCGGACCUCAUAAAGUAUGUCGUAGUCCGGAUUGGAGUCUGCAACUCGACUCCAUGAAGUCGGAAUCGCUAGUAAUCGUAGAUCAGAAUGCUACGGUGAAUACGUUCCCG